RNAcentral lists this ribosomal RNA (496 nucleotides) under uncultured bacterium. Its description in RNAcentral is "partial 16S ribosomal RNA". It matches the Rfam family "Bacterial small subunit ribosomal RNA", at positions 29 to 507 of the family's 1533-position model. The record is from RNAcentral.
AUGCACGCUGGCGGCGUGCCUAAUACAUGCAAGUCGAGCGCACAGAUAAGGAGCUUGCUCCUUUGACGUUAGCGGCGGACGGGUGAGUAACACGUGGGUAACCUACCUAUAAGACUGGGAUAACUUCGGGAAACCGGAGCUAAUACCGGAUAACAUUUGGAACCGCAUGGUUCUAAAGUGAAAGAUGGUUUUGCUAUCACUUAUAGAUGGACCCGCGCCGUAUUAGCUAGUUGGUAAGGUAACGGCUUACCAAGGCAACGAUACGUAGCCGACCUGAGAGGGUGAUCGGCCACACUGGAACUGAGACACGGUCCAGACUCCUACGGGAGGCAGCAGUAGGGAAUCUUCCGCAAUGGGCGAAAGCCUGACGGAGCAACGCCGCGUGAGUGAUGAAGGGUUUCGGCUCGUAAAACUCUGUUAUUAGGGAAGAACAAAUGUGUAAGUAACUGUGCACGUCUUGACGGUACCUAAUCAGAAAGCCACGGCUAACUACGUG